CCUACGGGAGGCAGCAGUGAGGAAUAUUGGUCAAUGGACGAGAGUCUGAACCAGCCAAGUAGCGUGAAGGAUGACGGCCCUACGGGUUGUAAACUUCUUUUGUCAGGGAGCAAUUGGGUCCACGCGUGGGCUUAGCGAGAGUACCUGAAGAAAAAGCAUCGGCUAACUCCGUGCCAGCAGCCGCGGUAAUACGGAGGAUGCGAGCGUUAUCCGGAUUUAUUGGGUUUAAAGGGUGCGUAGGCGGAUCGUUAAGUCAGUGGUCAAAUUGAGGGGCUCAACCCCUUCCCGCCAUUGAAACUGGCGCUCUUGAGUGGAAGAGAAGUAUGCGGAAUGCGUGGUGUAGCGGUGAAAUGCAUAGAUAUCACGCAGAACCCCGAUUGCGAAGGCAGCAUGCCGGCUUCCGACUGACGCUGAAGCACGAAAGCGUGGGGAUCGAACAGGAUUAGAUACCCUUGUAGUC
Molecule: ribosomal RNA, 460 nt
Filed under: uncultured bacterium
Lineage: Bacteria
Description: partial 16S ribosomal RNA
Rfam family: Bacterial small subunit ribosomal RNA
Source: RNAcentral